AUUGAACGCUGGCGGAAUGCUUUACACAUGCAAGUCGAACGGCAGCACGGACUUCGGUCUGGUGGCGAGUGGCGAACGGGUGAGUAAUGUAUCGGAACGUGCCCAGUCGUGGGGGAUCACGUAGUGAAAAUUACGCUAAUACCGCAUACGAUCUAUGGAUGAAAGCGGGGGAUCGCAAGACCGCGCGCGAUUGGAGCGGCCGAUAUCAGAUUAGGUAGUUGGUGGGGUAAAGGCCCACCAAGCCAACGAUCUGUAGCGGGUCUGAGAGGACGACCAGCCACACUGGAACUGAGACACGGUCCAGACUCCUACGGGAGGCAGCAGUGGGGAAUUUUGGACAAUGGGCGAAAGCCUGAUCCAGCCAUUCCGCGUGCAGGAUGAAGGCCCUCGGGUUGUAAACUGCUUUUGUACAGAACGAAAAGGUUUCUACUAAUACUAGGAGCUCAUGACGGUACUGUAAGAAUAAGCACCGGCUAACUACGUGCCAGCCGCCGCCGUAA
This 500-nucleotide ribosomal RNA is filed under the name uncultured bacterium. RNAcentral describes it as "partial 16S ribosomal RNA". It matches the Rfam family "Bacterial small subunit ribosomal RNA", at positions 30 to 523 of the family's 1533-position model. The record is from RNAcentral.